UACAGGGGGGGCAAGCGUUGUUCGGAAUUACUGGGCGUAAAGGGCUCGUAGGCGGCCAACUAAGUCACACGUGAAAUCCCCAGGCUUAACCUGGGAACUGCGUGUGAUACUGGAUGGCUUGAAUCCGGGAGAGGGAUGCGGAAUUCCAGGUGUAGCGGUGAAAUGCGUAGAUAUCUGGAGGAACAUCUGUGGCGAAGGCGGCCAUCUGGACCAGCACUGACACUGAGGCACGAAAGCGUGGGGAGCAAACAGG
Molecule: ribosomal RNA, 253 nt
Filed under: uncultured bacterium
Lineage: Bacteria
Description: partial 16S ribosomal RNA
Rfam family: Bacterial small subunit ribosomal RNA
Source: RNAcentral